Molecule: ribosomal RNA, 183 nt
Filed under: Triticum aestivum (bread wheat)
Lineage: Eukaryota; Viridiplantae; Streptophyta; Magnoliopsida; Poales; Poaceae
Description: partial small subunit ribosomal RNA
Source: RNAcentral
CGAAGGGCGCUGACUUCCAUUAUGCUACUGUUUUCUUGGGAAAUAUGGAAAGAGUGAAAUGCACGUGUGUUCCGUAACAACGCAAUUCCAGUGGGUGUGCUUGUUGCUCGAAUCAAAGAGGAAGCCUCAUGGUGGUGCCGUGCCGGGGCAAAAUAUUUGUGUAAUGUAAUGCCGCGAGAGUGA